This 272-nucleotide ribosomal RNA is filed under the name uncultured bacterium. RNAcentral describes it as "partial 16S ribosomal RNA". It matches the Rfam family "Bacterial small subunit ribosomal RNA", at positions 524 to 794 of the family's 1533-position model. The record is from RNAcentral.
UACAGAGGUCCCCAAGCGUUGUUCGGAUUCACUGGGCGUAAAGGGUGCGUAGGUGGCCGGGUAAGUCUGAUGUGAAAUCUCCGAGCUCAACUCGGAAACUGCAUCGGAUACUCUCCGGCUAGAGGAAUGGAGGGGAGACUGGAAUACUUGGUGUAGCAGUGAAAUGCGUAGAUAUCAAGUGGAACACCAGUGGCGAAGGCGAGUCUCUGGACAUUUCCUGACGCUGAGGCACGAAAGCUAGGGGAGCAAACAGGAUUAGAAACCCCUGUAGU